RNAcentral lists this ribosomal RNA (301 nucleotides) under uncultured bacterium. Its description in RNAcentral is "partial 16S ribosomal RNA". It matches the Rfam family "Bacterial small subunit ribosomal RNA", at positions 509 to 807 of the family's 1533-position model. The record is from RNAcentral.
CAGCAGCCGCGGUAAUACAGAGGGUGCGAGCGUUAAUCGGAUUUACUGGGCGUAAAGCGUGCGUAGGCGGCUUUUUAAGUCGGAUGUGAAAUCCCUGAGCUUAACUUAGGAAUUGCAUUCGAUACUGGGAAGCUAGAGUAUGGGAGAGGAUGGUAGAAUUCCAGGUGUAGCGGUGAAAUGCGUAGAGAUCUGGAGUAAUACCGAUGGCGAAGGCAGCCAUCUGGCCUAAUACUGACGCUGAGGUACGAAAGCAUGGGGAGCAAACAGGAUUAGAUACCCCUGUAGUCCCUGUCUCUUAUAC